GACGAACGCUGGCGGCGUGCCUAAUACAUGCAAGUUGAGCGCUGAAGGUUGGUACUUGUACCAACUGGAUGAGCAGCGAACGGGUGAGUAACGCGUGGGGAAUCUGCCUUUGAGCGGGGGACAACAUUUGGAAACGAAUGCUAAUACCGCAUAAAAACUUUAAACACAAGUUUUAAGUUUGAAAGAUGCAAUUGCAUCACUCAAAGAUGAUCCCGCGUUGUAUUAGCUAGUUGGUGAGGUAAAGGCUCACCAAGGCGAUGAUACAUAGCCGACCUGGGAGGGUGAUCGGCCACAUUGGGACUGAGACACGGCCCAAACUCCUACGGGAGGCAGCAGUAGGGAAUCUUCGGCAAUGGACGAAAGUCUGACCGAGCAACGCCGCGGGAGUGAAGAAGGUUUUCGGAUCGUAAAACUCUGUUGGUAGAGAAGAACGUUGGUGAGAGUGGAAAGCUCAUCAAGUGACGGUAACUACCCAGAAAGGGACGGCUAACUACGUG
Molecule: ribosomal RNA, 497 nt
Filed under: uncultured bacterium
Lineage: Bacteria
Description: partial 16S ribosomal RNA
Rfam family: Bacterial small subunit ribosomal RNA
Source: RNAcentral